CUCGGUUUGGGAACGGCUUUGGUCUUGUGCACACUUCUGAUUUUCUGUCUCAUUUAUUUCAUACUGUGGAGAAGAAAACGUGAUAAAAUGAACACUUCUAUAGAAGGUUCUCCAGGAAUGAUGCAGCAAUCUGAUGCUGAAACACUGAAUUAUGCAGGCUUGCAGUUCACCAAGAGGAAAGCCGAAGCUGAAAAAAGAAAAACUGGCUCAUCGGAGGAUUGUGUGUACGCUCAUGUGAAAUAAAACUCUGUGUUCUCUGCAAUACAAUCAAUAAUUACAGGUUUUUAAUUCUGUACACAUGGUUAAAGAAUUUUUAUUCAUUUAUUUGUUUAUUUGUGCAAAUGUUAUCCUCUAUUAACAAUUAACACGCGUGGUAAAACGGAAUAAAAUUACUUUAGUAUUGCACCUACUGUAUGUUGACUUUAAUAAAAAUAAACAAGUGUUAAAAAAAAAGAUGUAAAUGAGCUCAAAUAGAAAAAUGAAUAGAUAAAUCAA
Long non-coding RNA from Ictalurus punctatus (channel catfish), 495 nucleotides. RefSeq lists it as uncharacterized. Lineage: Eukaryota; Metazoa; Chordata; Actinopteri; Siluriformes; Ictaluridae. The transcript has 3 exons. The record is from RefSeq and is a predicted model, not a curated record.